Molecule: long non-coding RNA, 5071 nt
Organism: Betta splendens (Siamese fighting fish)
Lineage: Eukaryota; Metazoa; Chordata; Actinopteri; Anabantiformes; Osphronemidae
Exons: 2
Source: RefSeq, a predicted model, not a curated record
AUGACAGGCCUUAACCCACCAAACUCCUUUAAUGUGCUUGUUUCUGUGUGUUUGAUGUAUAUACUUUGGAUACUUGGUUUUAUACUUUCCCUCAUUCUUAAAGGAGACUGGUCAUACUUUUCAUUCUAAAGAGUAUUGGACUUCAAUGUCUCAGUAAGGUCUCUGUAAAUUUUAAUUCCAUAAAACCCUUUAGAUCGUCCACACUGCCCCUGUCAAUGUGUGGUUUUCACUCCCCAUCAGUAAACACUGUUUUCUGGGCGUGUUGCUCGCGCAUACCUUUUUUGUUGUUUUUUUUUAAAAUUGGCUUCAUGGAUAAGCGCCACCGCAUGGUUAGGAUACAAUAGGUGGCAGUAGUGCAACAUUGAGAAUGCAAUCCAACGCAAUCCUGCAAAGAAGAAGACCCACUACAGGACUGCACGACAAUAGCCAGCUGGUCUGGUAGCGUAGUACAACUAUACAUCUACGUCCCGAAUCUGACCCUGAAGCUGAAGAGGAGGCUGUUGAAGUCACCACAUUUCAGCUGAUGCAAGAUGUGUCUCAUUGAACUGAGCGCGAAGAGGGUAAAUCCAGAUCUGGACUCCUUUCCCACCGUCAGCAGAAGAACCGAAAGAGAAGAAGCGCCUGACCAACAACCAGAACCAGGUGGAAGCUCUGAUACCACAGCAGCUGGAGGACACAGACCACAGCAUGGAGGCCUCAGCGACUCCCACAACGUCUGCAGCCAUCACGUUCUGGGCUCAUCAGACUCACCAGAUAGUACAAGUCCUGCACCAGCAUGAAAGGACUGUCUGAAGCUUCAGAGGCCGUGAAACUGUCAUACAAGCGUGUGUGUCUGACACAGACACCUGCUUAUGACUAUCAGAAAAGGAAAACAAGGUAAGACAAACAGCAGAGUGAGAAGACGUGCUCUGUCACAGACACUGGUUGAAACAACAGAAGAGGCUUCAGACGUGAUUGGCCCAAUAGAGCUGCAUCCGAGGAUCCAGAAAAGGUCUGUCAUCGAGGAACAACUGUCCCUGCUACGUCAGGCUCCACCCACUGGCGCUCACAUCAGACUGAUGGUUGGGGAGGGAGGAAGGUGAACGUUCCUUUUCACAUGACGUAGAAGACUGUACCGCAAACACACACACACACAUUUCCACGCACGCAAUGAAGAAACACGCUUACCGCUGAUACAUGCUCAAUUGAUCCAAAUUCAUGCUUAUCUUUUGGCAAUGAAGAAUUGCUUUUUGCUCAAAACAUACCACAGAGUGAUUUUAAAAUUAUGACAAACAGCUAAAUGACAACUGCUGCAUGACUUUACAGUCUGAUGGGUUUAAACUAUUUCAAUUUGCAACAACUUAAGUAUUAAAAUCCUCCAUGUUUUUAAAAGAUUUGUGCACACUAUAGGUUUGUCUGGCCAGACUCUAGGAAAAACAAAACCAGAGCUUUCGUGAACAGAUGUCAACGGGGUGGAGACUGGUGAACGACUUCUGACCCCAUGUGACGUAUUCACCUACUUUACAUACUUUUUGAAAACCUUUAUUUUAUUCUGCCCGUCAUGCGCAACAGUGAACUUGGUGCCUCCGCAUUCUAAUGAAAUACACUACAUUUAGUUUAUUUUUAUUUUUCAGAGGACGCUCUGAACACUCAGCCUUACAGGAAGCCCUGCUUCCCUGUGGCUCACACACAGACAUGAUGUAGGUUUGAUCAGAGGAUGUGAACCAGUGGUCAUCACACCUGAAUCUGACCACAGACCUCGUAAACAACACCAUCCUCUUAAAGGAAGCUAUAGACGGCGUUACUGCAGACACCACUAAGCUACUGAAACAUUGGAUGCUAUAGGCCACAAAGAGAGCCUGUCUAAAUUACAGUUUGUUCAGACUAAGGUAAGGUUGUAGGACUUUCGUUCCUAACUCUACUGUCUUUGAGGCCCCACUCAGGGUUCUAAUGCAGAUGUGUCUUCAUUGUUCACUUCUUGUCUCACGUGGACGUCUGAGGCUGAACAACGUUCACUGAUCUCAUGCUUGCCUUUCAGUCGGCUCCUACUUUGGGUCUUCCUGAUCUGACCCUACUCAAACAGUGGAUGAGAAAUAAGGUUGUACCACUUUUGUUCUUUUGUCCUUAUACUGUGUCUUUGAUUCUUUUGGAAUAGAAAACAUCACAUCUUUCUACAGCCCGAUGGCUUAGAUGCAACACCAUCUUGCUUAACAUGCUGAGGCCGUCUUGAAGUCUGGCGCUUUGCUAAGACACUACUUUCCUCAGGCUGCAGAGUUGACUGCGUUGACUGAAGCUAGUGAACUAUCAGAAGUAGAGUCUGUUACCAUCUACACAGACUCCACAGAUGCUCUGUGGAAGCAUAGGAAGCUUUUGAAGUCUUAUUGCAAACCUAUCUUACAUGAUUAGGUUGCUGCUUUGCUGGAGAUUGUUCUGCCACCUACAGCUAAUGCUGUUUGUAAUUGUCCCCCUCACACCGUCAAUGACAACUUUGUUUCUGCCGACAUGCAGCUGCAGACGCUCCUCUCCUCAUCCUCGUUUCCUCUCCAACUCUCUCUACCUCUCCUUCCUCAUCUCCCUGUGUUUUAAACAUUUUCUACCUCACAGGAACGCAGACUCUGGCAGACGAAUGGUUCCACCUGUAGCCAUGGAGUCUGGUUUGGGCCUGAUGGCAGCCGUGCCGCCAAACACUUUUUCCCCACAAUUCAGAUUUCCCAACAGGUGAAAACAGGCGACAGGACCAUUAUACACCAUCCAACCAGGGGACUGGGCGAUCGUUAGGGAGUUCAGGAGGAAGCACUGGACCUCCAAACAGUGGCAAAGCCCCUUCCAGGUCCGUCUGACGACCCACACAGCUGAAAGAUAGCAGAGAGAGCGACUUGGAUCCACUCCAUCCACUGCAGGAAGGUCCCGGACCCAACAGACGACCCUCCAUCUACAUCCUACAGACAAAACCACCACUAACGAAAAGAACUGAGAAGAACGUCCCUCGCUGUGCUCACACACGCACUGAGGCAAGGCUGCGUUGACCGUUCAGCUAAAGGUGUGAGCCAAGCGCCACCUGAAGCUGCGCCGGUGAAUCACACUAUCAGACCAUACAUCUACACACACGCUCCUGAGAAAACACACACACAAGCAGCCUUGAGUUGCCAACGCUGGACGACGUGUAGACUCUUCACAUCACGGGGGUACAUACAUUAAUUGUCUUUAUUACAUUACAAUCGAAUUGCCGUAGACACGUUGUUAGCAGAGAAAGGAGGCAUUUGUGUUUUGUUUGGAGAGGCAUGUUGUACUUACAGUACAUCCUGAAAAACACUGAUUCUAAUGAUACUGUGACAAAGGUGCUCAGGGGGGCUAAGGGGUGCAACCAGCUGCUGAAACCAAGCAAAUCUGUUAAGUAAACAAUCGGAGCAAAAAGAAUAAAAAAUAAAAAAUAAAAAAAAUAAAUAAGAAGCAGGGAUGUACCUUAGGCUAACACAUUCAUAACUAAACAAUUUUUGUACUGUGGUUUACCUUGGAGAUUAUUACUAAUACCAAUAAUAGUGCUAAGGUAUGUGCACAUACUAAUACAAACAUAUACAUACAAUAUACAUACAUAUGUGCAUUAUUAUACAUAUCUCAUACUACUUAAUAAAAGUCAUGACAUACAACACCACAAAUUCCAUAUUCACACAUUAUUCAUAUUGGUAGUGAUAAGUGUCAAUAAUACUUACAGUUGGAUUUGGAAAGUGUCCCACUACAAGGUUAGUAAGGCUGUAGCUUAACAUUAUUUACCCAAAGGGUGAGGCAGACGUUGGUGCAUGAACAAUGCCACUUGUGGAAGCCAGGGUGAUGUGAGGGGCUUGGCCACUACGCCCAUCCAGCAAGCAGAGGAAGGAAUCCCAGCAGCCAGGGAGCCCACACACCUUCAGUUCCAGGAGGGCAGGUGUUGCGACCCAAGCCGCCCACACAGAGCCCCCCAGGCAGAGCUGCAGCAGCCACAGAGACAGCACCCGAGGCCAGAGCGGGCCACCGGGGGUCAACGCUGUCCGCCCCAUGAGAACCAGGGGCAAACACUCCCACCGGCGGGAGGGUCGGCCUGAAAGAGUAGAGCCCGAGGAUCCACGGUCCGUAGGGAGCCCGCCAGAAGAUGCCCCCGUGCGCAGAGUGGGGCCCGCCCCCAGCCCACCAACCCCACACGAGCGGAGCGGGACCAACCCCAUCGGCCCGACCUCAUCACCUGGCGCCACCGCGGCCUGCAGCACAAGGCCAGCAAUUGGUGGGGUCAGCAGAAAAGAGACCACCCAGGCAGACGAUCAUCGUACCCCGGGCGAAAAACCGGACCCCCCACACUUCAACCGCACCACACGCAUACCAACUCACACAAACACAGACGCAUACACCCACCACAUGUGCAACACACAUCUUCACAUCAACACAUACAAACACCAUAGACUCUCUCACAACAAACUAGUCAAUCAUACGUGAACCAAUGCACUCUCAGAUACAUUCUCGCACCCACACCAAUGACAAUUUUUAUUCUUAGUGUUUGAUUAAUGGGUAAUCAGAAGGGGGGAGUGUUACGGGAAAAAAUGUUUCUUCCUUAUUCUAUGCAGUUAUUAUAUGAUUUAUGACUUAUGUUCUGCAAUUAAUAGCUUAUGUUUUGUCUUACUGUAUGUAUUUGACAUUUCACCUACAUUGUUUAAUGGUUGUCUAUGCCUGAUAGACUCUCAACUCUAGCUCCCAAACCCAAGGCCAGGGAGUUGUGUCUCUGUCUGUUGAGACUUGGUGCUCUUUUCUUACAGAUAGUUGGACGUCAGCAAGGCAGGUUUGAGAAUGUAAACAUUUCCACACACAGGGCGACAGGGAAGAGAUGGUGCAUGCAGUCUGAUUGGGCUACACAGACGUUCCACCAUUUUUGUACAGAGAGGUUAAAAGGCAGAGACAACUUGAGGAUUGUGGACUCUUUGCAUCACACCUUCGUGGUGUAUGCACUGAUCUCCCCAGCUGUUUUUUUGGUUUGUUGAUGUGCACGAUCAACAUCCAUGCUUUUUAUUUGCUUUCCCCAUUAUUUUUAUUUUCCUUUAUUUUUUAUAAUAAAUCACUCAAAAGACAA